RNAcentral lists this long non-coding RNA (787 nucleotides) under Homo sapiens (human). RNAcentral's name for it is "uncharacterized LOC105379082, transcript variant 3 (LOC105379082)". Lineage: Eukaryota; Metazoa; Chordata; Mammalia; Primates; Hominidae. The record is from RNAcentral.
AUUCCUCCAACAAAUAAGACAGAGAACUGCCUGUUUUUUUGGUUCCCUAUCGAAGGACGGAGCUUGGAACAACAUUUAUAACGGUUUAAUGACACAAAGAGUAAAAGGUGCUGCAGCCCAUCCAUCUGCUGAAUGUUGCCAAGUAACAGCCAUCCAUGGAACAUGGAAAAAUGAAUUCACCCGGCCAGGCCCAAAUUGUCGACCCACAGAACAUGAGAUCUGAAACGAAGCCAAGCAAAGCAACAUCACCUUCUGGAAAGUGCAGAAACUGCAAUCAAGAUCAACAAAGAAAAGCACCCUUCCCAUAGAUUCAUCUCUUUGGCGUUUAAGUGUUUGGGCGAGUCUACAAAACUCAGAUUCCUCAUUUAACUAGAUGUUCCAGGUCACAGAGAUAUUCUACUAAGGCAAUUUUCAAAAGACCAUAAAACCACCACAUCAAUUUAUGCUUGCAGCUGCUUCUACUUCAACAAAUACAAGUGCUUCAGAUAUAAUAAGAAGACUAAUGAGGAUUGCAGAUGAUUACAACAAUAUUAUAAUACUUCCCAAGGCAUAAUGACAUUUUUUUCCCAAAUUAAGGAAAAAAGGUUUUUUCUUGUUAGAGUCUUUAUUGCCUGAAUAUGACCUCAGUUAAAACCAGGAACCCAACUUUAGAACAAAUCUAUGAAUAAGUAUUUUUUUAGUAAGACUUCUUAGCUUAUAAUGGAAGUUUUAUUAACUUUAGCAAGGACUAUGUAUGUGCUACAGGAUUACAUCCUUAAAAUAAAAUGUGCCAAAACGGGUCAUUUGA